Solea senegalensis (Senegalese sole) is the source of this 513-nucleotide long non-coding RNA. RefSeq lists it as uncharacterized. The transcript is spliced from 4 exons. NCBI's taxonomy places the organism in Eukaryota, Metazoa, Chordata, Actinopteri, Pleuronectiformes, Soleidae. The record is from RefSeq and is a predicted model, not a curated record.
AAGUCCAUCCGGUAGAUUCGUCCUGGUGCUGCUGCUGAAGUCCGUUCCUGUGUGAAAGCGUGCUCAGUGGUUAAUCGGUUUAGACCUGUUAAACUAGAAAUCUGUGGUUGUAAGAUGGGUGUGAAGCGGGACUUGUGCAUUUUUUUUUAUUAUUAUCAGCAUUACAUAUAAUUAUUGCAGAAAAAUGUGACUGUAUUUGGUUUAGAGCCAAAAGGUUGCACGGAUCAGUGUGACUAGGCCGCAUUGCCGAGGAAACGGAUAUGGGCGGAUGAUGUUCUCGGAUCGUUGCAGAGUUCUGGGGUGAAUGCACGUGGACAGGACGAUAAAGGAGCUGUGCGUGUUUGAUCGACCUCUGAAUCAAUAGCACUGGGGUGCCGUUCAGAUGUGAGGUGUGAAAAUGGACCAGGAUAAUGAAAAUCACAAGGUGACACAAUGGUGGUUUCACAAAUGACAAUGUUUUUGCUUUCCCUGAUGUAUUCCUAUACUGGAAAAUAAAUGACAGUGUGAAUAAAG